GAUGAACGCUGGCGGCGUGCCUAACACAUGCAAGUCGAACGAAGCGCUUAAGACGGACCCUUCGGGGGAAGAUUUAAGUGACUGAGUGGCGGACGGGUGAGUAACGCGUGGGCAACCUGCCCUGUACAGGGGGAUAACAGUUGGAAACGGCUGCUAAUACCGCAUAAGCGCACAGUGGGACAUCCCACAGUGUGAAAAACUCCGGUGGUACAGGAUGGGCCCGCGUCUGAUUAGCUGGUUGGUGAGGUAACGGCCCACCAAGGCGACGAUCGGUAGCCGGACUGAGAGGUUGAACGGCCACAUUGGGACUGAGACACGGCCCAG
This 324-nucleotide ribosomal RNA is filed under the name uncultured bacterium. RNAcentral describes it as "bacterial SSU rRNA". It matches the Rfam family "Bacterial small subunit ribosomal RNA", at positions 28 to 334 of the family's 1533-position model. The record is from RNAcentral.